UACGGGGGGGGCAAGCGUUGUUCGGAAUUACUGGGCGUAAAGGGCGCGUAGGCGGCCUUCUAAGUCGGACGUGAAAUCCCUCGGCUCAACCGAGGAACUGCGUCUGAUACUGGAAGGCUUGAAUCCGGGAGAGGGAUGUGGAAUUCCAGGUGUAGCGGUGAAAUGCGUAGAUAUCUGGAGGAACACCGGUGGCGAAGGCGGCAUCCUGGACCAAUUCUGACGCUGAGGAGCGAAAGCCAGGGGAGCAAACGGG
RNAcentral lists this ribosomal RNA (253 nucleotides) under uncultured bacterium. RNAcentral's name for it is "partial 16S ribosomal RNA". It matches the Rfam family "Bacterial small subunit ribosomal RNA", at positions 524 to 776 of the family's 1533-position model. The record is from RNAcentral.